AACGCACAUUGCGCCCCUUGGUAUUCCAUGGGGCAUGCCUGUUCGAGCGUCAUCUACACCCUCAAGCUCUGCUUGGUGUUGGGCGUCUGUCCCGCCUUCGUGCGCGGACUCGCCCCAAAUUCAUUGGCAGCGGUCUUUGCCUCCUCUCGCGCAGCACAAUUGCGUUGUAAGGGGGCGUGGCCCGCAUCCACGAAGCAACAUUACCGUCUUUGACCUCGGAUCAGGUAGGGAUACCCGCUGAACUUAA
RNAcentral lists this unclassified non-coding RNA (247 nucleotides) under uncultured fungus. Its description in RNAcentral is "sequence contains ITS2". Lineage: Eukaryota; Fungi. The record is from RNAcentral.